Molecule: ribosomal RNA, 442 nt
Filed under: uncultured bacterium
Lineage: Bacteria
Description: bacterial SSU rRNA
Rfam family: Bacterial small subunit ribosomal RNA
Source: RNAcentral
GGAGGAAUAUUGGUCAAUGGGCGAAAGCCUGAACCAGCCAUGCCGCGUGAAGGAAUAAGGCCCUAUGGGUCGUAAACUUCUUUUGACGGGGAGCAAUAAGGUCUACGUGUAGGCCGAUGAGAGUACUCGUCGAAUAAGCAUCGGCUAACUCCGUGCCAGCAGCCGCGGUAAUACGGAGGAUGCGAGCGUUAUCCGGAAUUAUUGGGUUUAAAGGGUGCGUAGGCUGUUUGGUAAGUCAGCGGUGAAAUUCCAGUGCUCAACAUUGGCCGUGCCGUUGAUACUGCUGGGCUUGAAUGCGGAUGCCGUGGGAGGAAUGUGUGGUGUAGCGGUGAAAUGCAUAGAUAUCACACAGAACACCGAUUGCGAAGGCAUCUCACGAAUCCGCAAUUGACGCUGAGGCACGAAAGUGUGGGGAUCAAACAGGAUUAGAUACCCUGGUAGU